This 254-nucleotide ribosomal RNA is filed under the name uncultured bacterium. RNAcentral describes it as "partial 16S ribosomal RNA". It matches the Rfam family "Bacterial small subunit ribosomal RNA", at positions 524 to 776 of the family's 1533-position model. The record is from RNAcentral.
UACGUAGGGUCCAAGCGUUAUCCGGAAUCACUGGGCGUAAAGCGUGCGUAGGCGGAUAAGUUAGUGUAAUGUGAAAUCUCCAGGCUCAACUUGGAGGGGUCAUUCGAUACUGCCAUGACUAGAGUUCGGUAGGGGAGUGUGGAAUUCCUGGUGGAGCGGUGAAAUGCGCAGAUAUCAGGAGGAACACCCGUAGCGAAGGCGGCACUCUGGGCCGGAACUGACGCUGAGGAGCGAAAGCGUGGGGAGCGAACAGG